RNAcentral lists this ribosomal RNA (868 nucleotides) under uncultured archaeon. Its description in RNAcentral is "bacterial SSU rRNA". It matches the Rfam family "Archaeal small subunit ribosomal RNA", at positions 1 to 878 of the family's 1478-position model. The record is from RNAcentral.
CUCCGGUUGAUCCCGCCGGACCCGACUGCUAUCAGAGUGGGACUAAGCCAUGCGAGUCAACAUAGCAAUAUGUGGCAUACGGCUCAGUAACACGUAGUCAACAUGCCCAGGGGACGUGGAUAACCUCGGGAAACUGAGGAUAAACCGCGAUAAGUCACUACUUCUGGAAUGGGUAAUGACUCAAAUCUACAUGGCCCCUGGAUUGGACUGCGGCCGAUCAGGCUGUUGGUGAGGUAAUGGCCCACCAAACCUGUAACCGGUACGGGCUCUGAGAGGAGGAGCCCGGAGAUGGGCACUGAGACAAGGGCCCAGGCCCUAUGGGGCGCAGCAGGCGCGAAACCUCUGCAAUAGGCGAAAGCCUGACAGGGUUACUCUGAGUGAUUUCCGUUAAGGAGAUCUUUUGGCACCUCUAAAAAUGGUGCAGAAUAAGGGGUGGGCAAGUCUGGUGUCAGCCGCCGCGGUAAUACCAGCACCCCGAGUGGUCGGGACGUUUAUUGGGCCUAAAGCAUCCGUAGCCGGUUCUACAAGUCUUCCGUUAAAUCCACCUGCUUAACAGAUGGGCUGCGGAAGAUACUAUAGAGCUAGGAGGCGGGAGAGGCAAGCGGUACUCGAUGGGUAGGGGUAAAAUCCGUUGAUCCAUUGAAGACCACCAGUGGCGAAGGCGGCUUGCCAGAACGCGCUCGACGGUGAGGGAUGAAAGCUGGGGGAGCAAACCGGAUUAGAUACCCGGGUAGUCCCAGCUGUAAACGAUGCAGACUCGGUGAUGAGUUGGCUUAUUGCUAACUCAGUGCCGCAGGGAAGCCGUUAAGUUUGCCGCCUGGGGAGUACGGUCGCAAGACUGAAACUUAAAGGAAUUGGCGGGGGAGCA